GAUGAACGCUGGCGGCGUGCCUAAUACAUGCAAGUCGAGCGAACGGACGAGAAGCUUGCUUCUCUGAUGUUAGCGGCGGACGGGUGAGUAACACGUGGAUAACCUACCUAUAAGACUGGGAUAACUUCGGGAAACCGGAGCUAAUACCGGAUAAUAUUUUGAACCGCAUGGUUCAAAAGUGAAAGACGGUCUUGCUGUCACUUAUAGAUGGAUCCGCGCUGCAUUAGCUAGUUGGUAAGGUAACGGCUUACCAAGGCAACGAUGCAUAGCCGACCUGAGAGGGUGAUCGGCCACACUGGAACUGAGACACGGUCCAGACUCCUACGGGAGGCAGCAGUAGGGAAUCUUCCGCAAUGGGCGAAAGCCUGACGGAGCAACGCCGCGUGAGUGAUGAAGGUCUUCGGAUCGUAAAACUCUGUUAUUAGGGAAGAACAUAUGUGUAAGUAACUGUGCACAUCUUGACGGUACCUAAUCAGAAAGCCACGGCUAACUACGUGCCAGCAGCCCGCGGUAAUACGUAGGUGGCAAGCGUUAUCCGGAAUUAUUGGGCGUAAAGCGCGCGUAGGCGGUUUUUUAGUCUGAUGUGAAAGCCCACGGCUCAAUCGUGGAGGGUCAUUGGAAACUGGAAAACUUGAGUGCAGAAGAGGAAAGUGGAAUUCCAUGUGUAGCGGUGAAAUGCGCAGAGAUAUGGAGGAACACCAGUGGCGAAGGCGACUUUCUGGUCUGUAACUGACGCUGAUGUGCGAAAGCGUGGGGAUCAAACAGGAUUAGAUACCCUGGUAGUCCACGCCGUAAACGAUGAGUGCUAAGUGUUAGGGGGUUUCCGCCCCUUAGUGCUGCAGCUAACGCAUUAAGCACUCCGCCUGGGGAGUACGACCGCAAGGUUGAAACUCAAAGGAAUUGACGGGGACCCGCACAAGCGGUGGAGCAUGUGGUUUAAUUCGAAGCAACGCGAAGAACCUUACCAAAUCUUGACAUCCUUUGACAACUCUAGAGAUAGAGCCUUCCCCUUCGGGGGACAAAGUGACAGGUGGUGCAUGGUUGUCGUCAGCUCGUGUCGUGAGAUGUUGGGUUAAGUCCCGCAACGAGCGCAACCCUUAAGCUUAGUUGCCAUCAUUAAGUUGGGCACUCUAAGUUGACUGCCGGUGACAAACCGGAGGAAGGUGGGGAUGACGUCAAAUCAUCAUGCCCCUUAUGAUUUGGGCUACACACGUGCUACAAUGGACAAUACAAAGGGCAGCGAAACCGCGAGGUCAAGCAAAUCCCAUAAAGUUGUUCUCAGUUCGGAUUGUAGUCUGCAACUCGACUACAUGAAGCUGGAAUCGCUAGUAAUCGUAGAUCAGCAUGCUACGGUGAAUACGUUCCCGGGUCU
RNAcentral lists this ribosomal RNA (1372 nucleotides) under uncultured bacterium. RNAcentral describes it as "bacterial SSU rRNA". It matches the Rfam family "Bacterial small subunit ribosomal RNA", at positions 28 to 1381 of the family's 1533-position model. The record is from RNAcentral.